RNAcentral lists this ribosomal RNA (468 nucleotides) under uncultured bacterium. Its description in RNAcentral is "partial 16S ribosomal RNA". It matches the Rfam family "Bacterial small subunit ribosomal RNA", at positions 28 to 507 of the family's 1533-position model. The record is from RNAcentral.
GACGAACGCUGGCGGCGUGCUUAACACAUGCAAGUCGAACGGAAAGGCCCUGCUUUUGUGGGGUGCUCGAGUGGCGAACGGGUGAGUAACACGUGAGUAACCUGCCCUUGACUUUGUGAUAACUUCAGGAAACUGGGGCUAAUACCGGAUAGGAUCUCUUGCUGCAUGUUGUGCGUUGGAAAGUUUCGGCGGUUGGGGAUGGACUCGCGGCUUAUCAGCUUGUUGGUGGGGUAGUGGCUUACCAAGGCUUUGACGGGUAGCCGGCCUGAGAGGGUUACCGGCCACAUUGGGACUGAGAUACGGCCCAGACUCCUACGGGAGGCAGCAGUGGGGAAUAUUGCACAAUGGGCGGAAGCCUGAUGCAGCAACGCCGCGUGCGGGAUGACGGCCUUCGGGUUGUAAACCGCUUUCGCAUGUGACGAAGCGUGAGUGACGGUAAUGGGUAAAGAAGCACCGGCUAACUACGUG